This 378-nucleotide ribosomal RNA is filed under the name uncultured eukaryote. RNAcentral's name for it is "partial 18S ribosomal RNA". It matches the Rfam family "Eukaryotic small subunit ribosomal RNA", at positions 592 to 976 of the family's 1831-position model. The record is from RNAcentral.
CAAUAGCGUAUAUUAAAGUUGUUGCAGUUAAAAAGCUCGUAGUUGGAUUUGUGGUUCGUCCCGCCGGCUGGGUCAUUGACCUUUGCUGUGCUGGUCGUCCAUCCUUGGGUGGAAUCUGUGUGGCAUUAGGUUGUCGCACAGGGGAUGCCCAUCGUUUACUGUGAAAAAAUUAGAGUGUUCAAAGCAGGCUUAUGCCGUUGAAUAUAUUAGCAUGGAAUAAUGAUAUAGGACCUUGGUACUAUUUUGUUGGUUUGCGCACUGAGGUAAUGAUUAAUAGGGACAGUUGGGGGUAUUCGUAUUCCAUUGUAAGAGGUGAAAUUCUUGGAUUUUUGGAAGACGAACUACUGCGAAAGCAUUUACCAAGGAUGUUUUCAUUAA